This 737-nucleotide ribosomal RNA is filed under the name uncultured bacterium. RNAcentral's name for it is "bacterial SSU rRNA". It matches the Rfam family "Bacterial small subunit ribosomal RNA", at positions 768 to 1504 of the family's 1533-position model. The record is from RNAcentral.
GCAAACAGGAUUAGAUACCCUGGUAGUCCACGCCGUAAACGAUGUCUACUAGCCGUUGGGGGACUUGAUCCCUUAGUGGCGAAGCUAACGCGAUAAGUAGACCGCCUGGGGAGUACGGUCGCAAGAUUAAAACUCAAAUGAAUUGACGGGGGCCCGCACAAGCGGUGGAGCAUGUGGUUUAAUUCGACGCAACGCGAAAAACCUUACCUGGUCUUGACGUCCUGCGAACUUUCUAGAGAUAGAUUGGUGCCUUCGGGAACGCAGUGACAGGUGCUGCACGGCUGUCGUCAGCUCGUGUCGUGAGAUGUUGGGUUAAGUCCCGUAACGAGCGCAACCCUUGUCCUUAUUUGCCAGCACGUAAUGGUGGGAACUCUAAGGAGACUGCCGGUGACAAACCGGAGGAAGGUGGGGACGACGUCAAGUCAUCAUGGCCCUUAUGACCAGGGCUACACACGUGCUACAAUGGAGCGUACAGAGGGUUGCUAAGCCGCGAGGUGGAGCCAAUCCCAGAAAACGUUUCGUAGUCCGGAUCGAAGUCUGCAACUCGACUUCGUGAAGUCGGAAUCGCUAGUAAUCGCGAAUCAGCAUGUCGCGGUGAAUACGUUCCCGGGCCUUGUACACACCGCCCGUCACACCAUGGGAGUGGGUUGCAAAAGAAGUGGCUAGUCUAACCUUCGGGAGGACGGUCACCACUUUGUGAUUCAUGACUGGGGUGAAGUCGUAACAAGGUAACCGUA